UGAUGACAAUUUCUCCGGAAUCUCUGCACUAUGUUGAUGACUUUUUGAACCCUUUUCCAGCUGAUGACUGCACAGAUCAGU
Molecule: small nucleolar RNA, 81 nt
Organism: Chanos chanos (milkfish)
Lineage: Eukaryota; Metazoa; Chordata; Actinopteri; Gonorynchiformes; Chanidae
Product: small nucleolar RNA MBII-202
Exons: 1
Source: RefSeq, a predicted model, not a curated record